GACGAACGCUGGCGGCGUGCUUAACACAUGCAAGUCGAACGGAAAGGCCCUGCUUGCAGGGUACUCGAGUGGCGAACGGGUGAGUAACACGUGGGUGAUCUACCCUGCACUUCGGGAUAAGCCUGGGAAACUGGGUCUAAUACCGGAUAGGAGCCAUUUUUAGUGUGAUGGUUGGAAAGUUUUUUCGGUGUAGGAUGAGCUCGCGGCCUAUCAGCUUGUUGGUGGGGUAAUGGCCUACCAAGGCGGCGACGGGUAGCCGGCCUGAGAGGGUGGACGGCCACAUUGGGACUGAGAUACGGCCCAGACUGCUACGGGAGGCAGAAGUGGGGAAUAUUGCACAAUGGGCGCAAGCCUGAUGCAGCGACGCCGCGUGGGGGAUGACGGCCUUCGGGUUGUAAACUCCGUUCGCUAGGGACGAAGCUUUUUGUGACGGUACCUAGAUAAGAAGCACCGGCUAACUACGUG
This 465-nucleotide ribosomal RNA is filed under the name uncultured bacterium. RNAcentral's name for it is "partial 16S ribosomal RNA". It matches the Rfam family "Bacterial small subunit ribosomal RNA", at positions 28 to 507 of the family's 1533-position model. The record is from RNAcentral.